Alosa sapidissima (American shad) is the source of this 437-nucleotide long non-coding RNA. RefSeq lists it as uncharacterized. The transcript has 3 exons. The record is from RefSeq and is a predicted model, not a curated record. NCBI's taxonomy places the organism in Eukaryota, Metazoa, Chordata, Actinopteri, Clupeiformes, Clupeidae.
AGAAAAAGGGACCCUGCCAUCACAAAGCUCCACGACAUUCUUAGAUGGCUUAAUGCACAUGAUUCCAACCAGAAUAAGCGAACAACAGUCUUGCCUGGCAUGCCCCACUUCCUUCGUCAAGAUUCUUACAGCAUUCUAAAGACCUGUGAGGAAAAAGGACGAUCUGACUGCCGGUCCCGGUGCCAGGACCCAGAUGUCUCACGGAGAGAUGUUCCCUCUGCAGCAUGGUGGUGAGGUGGGGCUCUGAGGCCUGCGGAUGCAUACAGGCAGCUGGUGCUCAAUUGGGGGGGGCUGUUUGUUCUUUGCUUCCUGUCGUCGUUUGUAUGCUUAUAAAACCUGUAGCCCCUCAUAGCCUACCCCUACACCAUACAAAACAACCCUCUUCAUAGAUAAUACAUACAUAUACAAUACAUAUGCUUUUAGCGAUGCUAAUUCCA